AACUUAAUAAUUACAACUUUCAACAACGGAUCUCUUGGUUCUGGCAUCGAUGAAGAACGCAGCGAAAUGCGAUAAGUAGUGUGAAUUGCAGAAUUCAGUGAAUCAUCGAAUCUUUGAACGCACAUUGCGCCCCUUGGUAUUCCAUGGGGCAUGCCUGUUCGAGCGUCAUU
This 170-nucleotide ribosomal RNA is filed under the name ascomycete sp. HK-S254. Its description in RNAcentral is "5.8S ribosomal RNA". It matches the Rfam family "5.8S ribosomal RNA". Rfam says of the family: 5.8S ribosomal RNA (5.8S rRNA) is a component of the large subunit of the eukaryotic ribosome. It is transcribed by RNA polymerase I as part of the 45S precursor that also contains 18S and 28S rRNA. The record is from RNAcentral. Lineage: Eukaryota; Fungi; Ascomycota. RNAcentral also lists the same sequence under 7 other names.